GAGUUUGAUCUUGGCUCAGAUUGAACGCUGGCGGCAUGCCUUACACAUGCAAGUCGAACGGCAGCACGGGAGCUUGCUCCUGGUGGCGAGUGGCGAACGGGUGAGUAAUGCAUCGGAACGUAUCCUGGAGUGGGGGAUAACGUAGCGAAAGUUACGCUAAUACCGCAUAUUCUGUGAGCAGGAAAGCGGGGGACCUUCGGGCCUCGCGCUCUUGGAGCGGCCGAUGUCGGAUUAGCUAGUUGGUGAGGUAAAGGCUCACCAAGGCGACGAUCCGUAGCAGGUCUGAGAGGAUGAUCUGCCACACUGGAACUGAGACACGGUCCAGACUCCUACGGGAGGCAGCAGUGGGAUUUUGGACAAUGGGGGCAACCCUGAUCCAGCCAUGCCGCGUGAGUGAAGAAGGCCU
RNAcentral lists this ribosomal RNA (406 nucleotides) under bacterium enrichment culture clone ALO1_GLFRUDD03G0ATD. RNAcentral's name for it is "bacterial SSU rRNA". It matches the Rfam family "Bacterial small subunit ribosomal RNA", at positions 9 to 417 of the family's 1533-position model. The record is from RNAcentral.